RNAcentral lists this long non-coding RNA (493 nucleotides) under Pan troglodytes (chimpanzee). RNAcentral describes it as "long non-coding RNA NONPTRT014193". Lineage: Eukaryota; Metazoa; Chordata; Mammalia; Primates; Hominidae. The record is from RNAcentral.
UUGAACCCGGGAAGUGGAGCUUGCAGUGAGCCGAGAUCGCGCCACUGGACUCCAGCCUGGGCGACAGAGUGAGACUCAUCCCUAGGAAAAAAAAAAAAUCUAUUGAAAACAGAAACCGGUGAUAUCCACUGGGAAGAAAAUACAGAGUAAGAGAAGCGGGGCAAGACACAACGUUGAAUGAAUAGACAGAAAGGAUCAAGAAAAGAAAACUGAGGAGCUGGCUACUUAAUAAAAUCAGGGAAGCCAGGGAGUCAGGAGCAGAGCCUGCAGUUCUCACCAGGCCUGUCUGUGUUACUGAAUCAGAAACCAAAAAGAAUCUUCCUCUAGGAAGAUCCUAGAAUUUGUAGGUCGGAGUAAUAGAUGACUCAAUAAAACCUAGGGAGUAAAAGAGACAUAUAAUUUAAAAAAUAAGGUCCUAUGUGAAGACUGUGUUUAUUCUGUAUCUAAACAAAGCCUGAAAAUUCAACAUUAAACAGCCAAUCAUCACCCAGAU